RNAcentral lists this long non-coding RNA (336 nucleotides) under Homo sapiens (human). RNAcentral describes it as "non-protein coding lnc-COMMD6-9:1". Lineage: Eukaryota; Metazoa; Chordata; Mammalia; Primates; Hominidae. The record is from RNAcentral.
GGCUCAGGGUGUGCGUUCCCCUCUGCUGAGGCAGAGCUCCAGUGAACAGUGCAGCAAUCUUUCGUCAGUUCGACGCAUGUACAAGGAGAGUAAUUCUUCCUCCAGUCUUCCAAGUCUUCACACUUCCUUCUCUGCCCCUUCCUUCACUGCCCCCUCUUUCCUGAAAAGCUUUUACCAGAAUUCAGGUAGACUGUCCCCACAGUAUGAAAAUGAAAUCAGUGAUGGAGAAGGGAGAAAAAGGACCUCAUCUACCUGCAGCAAUGAGUCCCUAAGUGUGGGAGGAACCUCUGUCACUCCUCGCCGGAUCUCCUGGCGGCAGCGCAUUUUCCUCAGGGU